This is a long non-coding RNA of Neopsephotus bourkii (Bourke's parrot), 1189 nucleotides long. RefSeq lists it as uncharacterized. The transcript is spliced from 2 exons. NCBI's taxonomy places the organism in Eukaryota, Metazoa, Chordata, Aves, Psittaciformes, Psittacidae. The record is from RefSeq and is a predicted model, not a curated record.
UGGGGAAAAGAAAUGCUGCGUGUAGAAAUCUUUAAGCUUUCAUCCAUUUCUAGGAAACUGGAAUGGGAGGAGCAUUCCUCCCACUCCUGAAGACAUCUGCACUGUGGGGAUACAGAGAAACUACUGCAGCACAAACAAGGUUUUGGCAAAUUAAAGCUUGUCAGAAUUAUAGCAAGCUUCCUGUUGAUCUGGGUCCACUUAUACUUACAGUACAAUUCUGUGCUUCUUUCUGCUGUUCCCCUUUGGACAUAUAAUACUUAAAAACUAGCUCAAGAAUUGAGAGGCUUAAUUCUCUGCACAGUGUAGGAGUAGCCAAGAUAUUUCUUUCUAUGGCCUUCUCCUUCAUUCUCCUGCCUUGUUUUCGACUUAGCAUCUGGCAAAACUGGAAAAACCCUGGGACAUAAAAAUUCCCUUAACUAAAAAUAGCUCUGUGAGCAGCAGAUCUUAUGAGCACUUGCAUCUCAGUGUUUCCUUCCACCACUGACCCUCUGAUACCUGGUAGGCUCCAUGUUCUGGAUCCUGCAGCAUGGAGACCUUCUCACUUCUACUCGGCCACCUGCUUUUGAGAACUUCCCAGACACUUCAUAAAUCCCAAGCCACUGUCAAAUUUGGUUGGAACAGACCAUGAGUUCAAGAAAGACUGGUCACAUCAUGUGGAAAGAGAGAUUAAUAAUUAAUACAGUCUGUCCUAAUGCAUAACGACUUUUCAUUAAGAAGACAGGCUAAAUUUUGCUCCUGAUUAUAUAGCUGUGAGCCCAGAAUUACUCUGAUUCACCAGCUGACUUCAGUAAUAGUGGAGGAUAAUCCUAACUACCUAACUGGACUGAUGUUUAUACACCACCUAACUAUUGCAGUUAUUUACUUAUCAGGUAAGAGUGCAUGUUUAUGAGAAAUAAUGGGGGCAGCAAUAUUAAAUCUUCCAACAACUCCCCACUUGUGCUUGGCAAAUUAAACACCUGAAAAAGGAGGUUAGAAUUCAGAGUACUGUUGGCAUAUUUUAAUUUUCCCUUUUUAGUAGCACAUAAGAAAUAAGUAUACUUACACACAUUCUGGAAAACCCUGUACUCUGCUGCCUAAGGUGCAUUAUUUUCAGAGGACAUUGCGAAUUCAAACAUCACAAAAUAAAGCAAAAUGAGCUUCCUUUGUUACUGACUACUGCUACAUUACAAUAAAAUAAUUAUAAAUCUGA